CGGUGUUUGUGCUGUCAUCUGUUCAGGCAGGAUCACAGAGGGGCUCGUUCAGCCCUCACCCGUCACGGUCUGCUGCGGAUGCUCUGCGGAGCACUUCGUGGUCCUCACAUGGACAUCCUGGCCUGGCUGAUGGACAGGCCUGCUCCGGGCUACCUGGACUGCUUUCUCUCUCUCAGAUGCUUCUAGUAUUUUCCUGCUAAUCAUGGCUUUGGGGUUGAGGUAGAAAUAUUCUAUCAUGUUAGCCACUGAGCAUUCUAGGAUGUAAACGUUAGCAGGUGAACUGAGGAGAAAGCAACAACUUGAAAAAUGACCUCAGGCACAUGGGUGGUUUUUCCUCUCUCAGAUUUGACCCGGGGGUGGCCCUAAUCUGUGGUCCUGUGCAGCCAGCACCAGGGCAACAACUCCAGAGAGGCCUGGGAAACGGGGGCACUGUGGACUAGAGAGGGUUGGGGUUCCCAUUUUUCUCUCUUUGCUGUCACUACUUUUCCUUAAGGGUGAGCCCUGUUUCCUUAAGGGUGGAAGCGUGAGACAGUGCAGGUGGCUAGAGCUCUGGGAGAAACCCAUCUUUCUGGACAGAGAAACCAAGAAAAGGGACCCCAGAAGUGAGAAAAUGCAAGGCAAAUUCCAGCAAGGAGAGUGCUGGAGAAGCAGACCCCCAGAUUCUCUACAUGUGCUGACACACGUCCCUGCCCACCCCACCUGUGAGUGCAGGCAACGACCCAAAACAGCACAGCCAAGGCCAAGGGCUGACCUGGUGGUGGACCUGCUGCUCGUGGAAAGAGAGACAGAACCAGUGGUCAGAACCUAAACCAGGUUGCCUGCUGCUGAAACAAACACAUGAAAUGACACUUACAACGAGGGUGUUAACAACCCAGAGUCUAACCUAACAUUCCACAUGACGAGUGAGGAUUCAACUUGCAGUUACUCAGCACACAACCAGGAAAAUGCAAACAGAAAAGACGAUUUCAGCCCCAAGAUGCUCAAACGUUCAAAUUAUCCCAGAAUUCACUGCAGUCCUAGUUAUAACCAUGCUUCAUGAAGUAAAGGUGAACACUCUUGGAAUGAGUGGAAAACCAGAAGUACCCAGCAGAGAAAUAAAAAGGAACCUAAUGGAAAUUUUAAAACUUAAUUACAGUAUUUGAAAUAAAUUCACUGGGUGAGUUCAGUAGCAGAAUUAAGACGACAGAGGAAAAAAAAUCAGUGAACUUGAAGACGGAGCACCAGAAAUAGCCAAAUCUGAAGGACAGACAGAAAAAAGAAUGAAGAAAGGUGAACAGAGCCUCAGGGACCAGUGGGAAAACAUCAAGAGGUCUAACGUCUGAGUCACUGGAGUCACAGAAGGAGAGGAGAAAGAUCAGUGCAAGAAAAGAAAACUGAAGAAAUAAUGGCAAAAAAAAAAAGUCCUCAAAUUUGGUGAAAGACAAAAACUGCCCAUCUAGGCUGUGGCAGGCCUACUAGGGAAUGGACAAAAAGUUCCGGCACGUUCCACUGGCUGAGGGAGCAUGGGACACGGACAGCUCAGCUGCACGUCCGUAAACCGUCCCUUCCACGGCCACCCUGGGCAUGGGGAGGGGCGGGGGUGUUUGUGGAGAAAAACCAGCACCGCAGAAGUACAAAUUCAAAAAUCUUAAUUUAUUGUAGACUCUUCUCAUUUGUAAUUCCAGUGUUUUGAACAUUAAUAAAUACACGUUCUGUUAAAAA
Molecule: long non-coding RNA, 1701 nt
Filed under: Homo sapiens (human)
Lineage: Eukaryota; Metazoa; Chordata; Mammalia; Primates; Hominidae
Description: non-protein coding lnc-TRMU-3:1
Source: RNAcentral